Pyrus x bretschneideri (Chinese white pear) is the source of this 436-nucleotide long non-coding RNA. RefSeq lists it as uncharacterized. The transcript has 2 exons. NCBI's taxonomy places the organism in Eukaryota, Viridiplantae, Streptophyta, Magnoliopsida, Rosales, Rosaceae. The record is from RefSeq and is a predicted model, not a curated record.
AUACCAUCGUCCGUCGGGCCACAGAAAAACCCGGUUUCCUGCUCGUUCUUUUCCCCCUCUGCUCCAGAACUUUUAACGACCAAAACGUCGACGUGCAACGGAUCCCUGCGAUCGUCGGGGAACCGAAUCAAACGAAUCAAAGCGACGACGACCCUUUAUCGCAUGGAUCACAACGAUUGGUGGUGCGGAAGCGAUUAAAUCUUUCGUUAAUUGAACGGAAACAUCCUGGCUUCAAUGUGUCGCAAUGGCUGAUCGAUAUCUGGUUUGUGAGUCUCAAUCGUCGAGGCAUAAUCAUCCGAAGCGAUCAAGACCUGCCAAGAAAAUCGUUACCAAAUUUCAUUUAAAAUGGUUGUAAUAAAACUUUGAACGUACGAUAACUAAUUAGGAAGCCAAAUCACCAGUAAGGCACAUGAAGCCUUCGAAGAGGUUCCUAAAA